Molecule: long non-coding RNA, 1282 nt
Organism: Bombus terrestris (buff-tailed bumblebee)
Lineage: Eukaryota; Metazoa; Arthropoda; Insecta; Hymenoptera; Apidae
Exons: 2
Source: RefSeq, a predicted model, not a curated record
CAAUUUCGCCGCCCUUGGACGACAAUGCGAUUCCGGGAAACAUCUCUGAAAGAAGAAAAAGUGCAAAUGAGUUACGUUGAACACGAGCGAAACGGAAACUCGGAUAUUUUAAUCGGAUCGGAUGAAAUGUUGCCGCUGGUACAUCCAUCCUCAAGAUCCCAGGAACACGAUUCGGGAUUUAGUAGCUGGCCAAGCUGGCGCCGGAGCGGUGACCCGGCUCGAUGCGACCUUCCAAGGACGCAAAACACAUCCUCUUCUUUCUGCAUAUCGCGUGCAACAUUUUUUCUUCUCAAGCCUGUUUCUCUCCUGCAGCGUGGGUGCUGCAAGAUCGUAAACCACCGAUCGGGUUGCAUCACGUGACGAAAAUAGCUUUCUCCCCAAGAAGGGUCGUUCUCGAAUUAUUCGCGAAUUAUUACGACACGUUCGUUUACCAUGCUAAUUAGAGUCCACUGCCGUUUUAACACUGCCGGACUCGAGGCAACAGUCGCGAUUCGUAUGGAAACGAAGUAGAAACACGCGAUGAUCGUUUAGUCGCGAUACGAUUGUCGAUGAAUUUUGGAGAAUAGAAUGUGUAAGGUAUGUACGUAUGUAUAGAAGGGGUACGAUGAUCAUCGACGAAGAUACGCGGUUCUCGAUACAGUGUGGGGUGUACACGCCGUAAAAGUCGCGUGGAUCGUACGAUCGCGCGGUGCUGGCGUGGCCGCAUUCCAGCUGGCGGAUUGGUCGAUCCCAUGCGUCAUAAAUCUACAUGAUGUUCCUGCCUUUUUCGCCCUUCGUAUAGCCCUUGGCAUACGUAACCUGCCGUGGCAACGUAUAUCGCGAUAUUUUUUUUUUUUUAUUUGCGAAUUCAGUCUUUUCGCCUCGUCCUUUCUUUUUUCUUCGACACGCCGCUCGACUACCCGAACAGAAUUCCACGACGUCCGAUCUCGGUUUUUCGAACUUAGAUCGGUUCCUUCGCUAUAUACGCGUUCCUGACUUUUCAAAGAUGUCGCGAGUUCGGCAAUCCUUUCCUUCUCUUUUUAAUCGUAAAAUAAGCGUGACCAUGACGUUGAAUUUUAAAGGAUUCCGGGUCGAGGAAUUCGACAGUUUCACGACCGGUUCGAUAAACUCCGCAAUGGCGACGCGUUUUUUGUCGCAAACCCGUUGCGCCAAGACAGGGAUCACCUAAAAAGAUUUUUGUACCAGGUGCAUCCUGCGGCCGCGCAUGAGUCAUGCAUUACAUACAUCCGUGUACCUCUGUAACCCUGCAUUCUUUUCUGAGCCGAAAUUCUGAUAAGUAAAA